UGGUCAGAAAUGUCACGAUGGUUGAAAUUGUGUUAUAUUGGAAAUUAUACCGGACUAGGUUAAGAUGUUGAGAACUAGGUUAAAUCGGGAAAGUUAGAAAAUUACCAAAAUGCCCCUAGGUUAUUUUAAAGUUUAAUUUCUUUGGGGGGUAAAUUAGUCAUUUUGUAUAAUAGGUAUUUUGACUUUCUAGACUUUGUGGGCUGCCCACUAUUAUUAAAAAAAAAGAAAGAAAGAAAAUAAUAAGAAACCCUAUUUAAGGGAAAAGCUUCCAAGGCAAGAAACAAAACUUUUUCUUCUUCUCCUUCUUCUUCCCUUCGUGUGAACCAAAAACCAGCCAGCAAAGGAUCAAAACUUCACCAUUUCUCUUGAAUUGAAGUAGCUUGUAGAACCUAAGCACAACCUAGAAGCAAUCAAGGACUCGAAAGUGUCGGGCAUCGUUCCACUCAGGUCGGCCCACAUACUUGACUUUGGACUUGAGGUAAGAAGAUUAGCGGUUCUUUUGGCCACGAGUCAGAGGUCUCCCAGCAAUGUACAUAUCAACCGUGUUGUCUUGGCUUCCAGGAAGCAGGAUCACCCCUUUUUCUAUGAUUGGAUGUAUAACCUACUCUUGUAUUAAUGGUUUUAUAAUUGGUUAUAAAAGAAUUUUAUUAGCAGGGGAUCCCCAUAUUACGACAGUAUUUUGAACUAAAGUUUCUAUUUUAAAUUUAAUUAAAGAUAAUAUA
Cannabis sativa is the source of this 722-nucleotide long non-coding RNA. RefSeq lists it as uncharacterized. NCBI's taxonomy places the organism in Eukaryota, Viridiplantae, Streptophyta, Magnoliopsida, Rosales, Cannabaceae. The record is from RefSeq and is a predicted model, not a curated record. The transcript has 3 exons.